UACGAAGGGGGCUAGCGUUGCUCGGAAUUACUGGGCGUAAAGCGCACGUAGGCGGAUUGUUAAGUCGGGGGUGAAAUCCUGGAGCUCAACUCCAGAACUGCCUUCGAUACUGGCGAUCUCGAGUCCGGGAGAGGUGAGUGGAGCUGCGAGUGUAGAGGUGAAAUUCGUAGAUAUUCGCAAGAACACCAGUGGCGAAGGCGGCUCACUGGCCCGAUACUGACGCUGAGGUGCGAAAGCGUGGGGAGCAAACAGG
This 253-nucleotide ribosomal RNA is filed under the name uncultured bacterium. RNAcentral describes it as "partial 16S ribosomal RNA". It matches the Rfam family "Bacterial small subunit ribosomal RNA", at positions 524 to 776 of the family's 1533-position model. The record is from RNAcentral.